GGCACGGUGGUGUAGUGGUUAGCGCGCUUGCCUCUCACCCCUGGAGUUCCAGGUUCGAAUCACGCCUCCUCCCUGUGUGU
This is a non-coding RNA of Pangasius djambal, 80 nucleotides long. The record is from the annotation of a GenBank genome assembly. NCBI's taxonomy places the organism in Eukaryota, Metazoa, Chordata, Actinopteri, Siluriformes, Pangasiidae.